This 427-nucleotide ribosomal RNA is filed under the name uncultured bacterium. Its description in RNAcentral is "bacterial SSU rRNA". It matches the Rfam family "Bacterial small subunit ribosomal RNA", at positions 355 to 774 of the family's 1533-position model. The record is from RNAcentral.
UGGGGAAUUUUGGACAAUGGGCGCAAGCCUGAUCCAGCAAUGCCGCGUGCAGGAUGAAGGCCUUCGGGUUGUAAACUGCUUUUGUACGGAACGAAAAAGCCCUCUCUAAUACAGGGGGUGAAUGACGGUACCGUAAGAAUAAGCACCGGCUAACUACGUGCCAGCAGCCGCGGUAAUACGUAGGGUGCAAGCGUUAAUCGGAAUUACUGGGCGUAAAGCGUGCGCAGGCGGUUUUGUAAGACAGAGGUGAAAUCCCCGGGCUCAACCUGGGAACUGCCUUUGUGACUGCAAAGCUGGAGUGCGGCAGAGGGGGAUGGAAUUCCGCGUGUAGCAGUGAAAUGCGUAGAUAUGCGGAGGAACACCGAUGGCGAAGGCAAUCCCCUGGGCCUGCACUGACGCUCAUGCACGAAAGCGUGGGGAGCAAACA